RNAcentral lists this long non-coding RNA (699 nucleotides) under Nicotiana benthamiana. RNAcentral describes it as "long non-coding RNA (NBEN_LNC041377)". Lineage: Eukaryota; Viridiplantae; Streptophyta; Magnoliopsida; Solanales; Solanaceae. The record is from RNAcentral.
AUUCCUGGUGUUAGGUUCAAGGUUGUGAAGGUGUCUGGUGUCUCGCUUUUGGCUCUCUUCAAAGAGAAGAAGGAGAAGCCAAGAUCUUAAAUACUUCCAGGUCAAAUGCAAGUAUCUUCUGAAUGAAUUUUUGUUAGGAUCAGCUCUUUUAUUUUUUAUUUUCAUUUCCCCAAACCUUUUACUAGUAUAGUUUGUCAUGUGAUUCUGCCAAUACCUGCCAUUUGGUGCAAGUAUCUUCUGAAUGAAUUUUUUGUUAGAUCAGCUCUUUUAUCUUUUAUUUUCAUUUUCCCCAACCUUUAACUAAUAUAGUUUGUCAUGUGGUUCUGCCAAUACCUGCCAUUUGUUUCACCUUCUGUUAAUGAAUGAUGGAUGAUAUUCUGAUGGAAUUUUUAGCUGUUGGAGGUAGAAUGUGUGCUAUUAUUAGUUUUCCUUCCCGCUGAAAUUUUUUGUGCAAUUGCAUUCUUAAAAUCCUGGUAUUUUCAUUGCUUGUUGGAUCAGGGCGUGACGAGAUGCAACAUAGUAUGAAACUCGUUCAAUCCAUAAACAUAGUCUAAUUCCGUCCCCAUUGUGACCGAUCUUCGUUUUCUAACAGCAAAGAAUAUAAAAAUAAAUAAUUCAAUCGAAUUGUCUUUUUUUCUUUUAUCUGAGGAAAGAAAAUUUGACUGAGUUUCUAAUUUGAUUUUUUAAUAUUGCAGUUCA